RNAcentral lists this ribosomal RNA (774 nucleotides) under fungal sp. RNAcentral's name for it is "SSU rRNA". It matches the Rfam family "Eukaryotic small subunit ribosomal RNA", at positions 324 to 1103 of the family's 1831-position model. The record is from RNAcentral. Lineage: Eukaryota; Fungi.
GAUGGUAGGAUAGAGGCCUACCAUGGUGGUAACGGGUAACGGGGUGUUAGGGCACGACACCGGAGAGGGAGCCUGAGAAACGGCUACCACAUCCAAGGAUGGCAGCAGGCGCGCAAAUUACCCAAUCCCGACACGGGGAGGUAGUGACAAUAAAUAACAAUACGGGGUUCUUUAGGAUUUCGUAAUUGGAAUGAGUACAAUCUAAAUCCCUUAACGAGGAACAAUUGGAGGGCAAGUCUGGUGCCAGCAGCCGCGGUAAUUCCAGCUCCAAUAGCGUAUAUUAAAGUUGUUGCAGUUAAAAAGCUCGUAGUUGAAUUUCGGGGUUCUACCGUUGGUCGGGCUUUGUCUGUACUGGCGUGUAGAAUUUCUACCUUCUGGGGAACCAUCAUGUUAUUAAUUUAACGUGGUGGGAAACCAGGACCUUUACCUUGAAAAAAUUAGAGUGUUCAAAGCAGGCUUAUGUCUGAAUACAUUAGCAUGGAAUAAUAAAAUAGGACGGUGGUCCUGUUUUGUUGGUUUCUGAAUCACCGUAAUGAUUAAUAGGGAUAGUUGGGGGCAUUAGUAUUCAAUUGUCAGAGGUGAAAUUCUUGGAUUUAUUGAAGACUAACUUCUGCGAAAGCAUUUGCCAAGGAUGUUUUCAUUAAUCAAGAACGAAAGUUAGGGGAUCGAAGACGAUCAGAUACCGUCGUAGUCUUAACCAUAAACUAUGCCGACUAGGGAUCGGACGAUGUUAAUUUUUAAAUGACUCGUUCGGCACCUUACGGGAAACCAAAU